CAAAUUAUAACUUAAUAAAAGUAUUUUAUUUACAUUAAAAAUAUAUGGUUUAAAUCCAUUGGUUUGA
RNAcentral lists this transfer RNA (67 nucleotides) under Stenischia humilis. RNAcentral describes it as "tRNA-Val". It matches the Rfam family "tRNA". From Rfam's summary of the family: Transfer RNA (tRNA) molecules are approximately 80 nucleotides in length. Their secondary structure includes four short double-helical elements and three loops (D, anti-codon, and T loops). Further hydrogen bonds mediate the characteristic L-shaped molecular structure. tRNAs have two regions of fundamental functional importance: the anti-codon, which is responsible for specific mRNA codon recognition, and the 3' end, to which the tRNAs corresponding amino acid is attached (by aminoacyl-tRNA synthetases). tRNAs cope with the degeneracy of the genetic code in two manners: having more than one tRNA (with a specific anti-codon) for a particular amino acid; and 'wobble' base-pairing, i.e. permitting non-standard base-pairing at the 3rd anti-codon position. The record is from RNAcentral. Lineage: Eukaryota; Metazoa; Arthropoda; Insecta; Siphonaptera; Hystrichopsyllidae. RNAcentral also lists the same sequence under 2 other names.